UGCUCGUGUCUUGCAGGGAAUGUUGAAGAAGAGUAUUGGGAAAGAAAGAGGCCUCAAAGCAGGCCCAGGCUACCAGUGCCGUGACCUCCCAGUGAACCAUAGCAGCACCUAGGAAGAGCCAAUGAGUGGUGGGACCGUGGACAAAGCCAUUCCUGCUGGGGUUCACAGGCGAUGAUGGUCCAGGCUGAAGGAUUCGACACUGGAUGGGGCCUUCAGGCCUGACUGCAGGGCCAGGGAAUGUUCUGGAAGUGGCACAGCCUGAGCGCAGCCCGCCUGCCCAUGUUUGAGUUCUGGCUGCACACAUAAAGCUCUGGACUCUGGGGAAGUUGCUAAAUCUCUCUGUGCCCCCAUUUCCCAUCUGUCAAAUAAUGGCAAUAGUAGCAGCUCCUGCC
RNAcentral lists this long non-coding RNA (392 nucleotides) under Fukomys damarensis (Damara mole-rat). Its description in RNAcentral is "lncRNA (ENSFDAG00000022418.1)". Lineage: Eukaryota; Metazoa; Chordata; Mammalia; Rodentia; Bathyergidae. The record is from RNAcentral.